UGUGUGUGUGUGUGUGUGUGUGUGUGUAUGUGUGUGUGAGGAAGAUUGGCCUUGAGCUAAGAUCUAUUGCCAGUCUUCCUCUUUUUUCUUUUCCUCUUUGAGGAGGAUUGUUGCUGAGCUAACAUCUGUGCUAAUCUUCCUCUGCUUUAUGUGGGAUACCUCCACAGUGUGGUUUGACAAGUAGUACUAGGUCCACGCCUGGGAUCCAAACCCCCAAACCUUGGGCCGCUGAAGUAGAGUACACAAACAACCACUACACCACUGGGCUGGCCCCUAACUUGAGGUAUUUUAAAGCAAACCUUAGAUAUGGUGACAUUUUACCUGUAAAUAUCUCAGUAUGCAUCCCUGCCAGGAACUUUGGUGUAUAUUUAUUUGUCUGUUAUUUGUUGUUUUUUUCUCUGUUACUAAGAAGCUAUUAUUACAGCUAAUAGAAUUAGUUAUUUCUUAAUAUCAUUUAAUACCAAGUCCAUAUUCAAAUGUCCCUAAUUAUCUGUCUAUUUAUAAUAGGUUUUAUCUGUUUAAAACAUGUCUAUUUAUAAUAAGUUUUGAAUCAAGAUCUGUACUACAAUUGGUUGUAUGUGUCUUAAAUUUCUUUUAUUCUGUGUCAAACCUGUUAUUUUUUAAUGCUAAUGAUUUGUUGAAGAAACCAAGUUAUUUGUCCUUUGAAUGUCCAACAUUCUAGAUUUGGCCUUUUUCAUUUUGUUAUUCAUUUUGUUCCUAUGUUUGUCCUAUUUGCUGUAAACUAGGAGUUAGAUCUUAGACUAGAUCAGAUCCAGGCAAUUUUGUUGUUGUUUUCAUUUGGUUUGUAAGCCAAGAGUAUUUCAUUGUGCUUAAUGAGACAUAUAAUAUCUGGUUGUCUCACUUAUGGUAAUGCUGAAAUUUAUCAGUGGGUUCAUGUGCUAGUAAACUGAUUUUCUUCAAAACAAGAUUUUAUAUCAACAUUUUACCUGAAACUUUUAUCAUCCAUUCGUAAUUGUUUCCUAGGUCCAUUAUCUCAUUAGGAUAAAAGGAUAAAUACUUGCAAUUCAAAUUUCAGAGUAAUAGGUUAGCACUCUACCAGUGACCAAUGAAGAUUUGGCAUUGCUGUUCCUAUUGUUGCUUUUAUUAUCAUUAUAGAGUCAUAGAUUUUACAUAUGUGAUCUGAUUCAACCCAUUGCAAUCAUCAUUCUUUUCACUACUGAAAUGAGAAUUCCAUUAUCAUGUUUUGUAUUAAAGGUACUAUCAUUAAAGUAUAAAAGUUUUAUGGUUUUACAUUAUUUUACUUUUUUCCGAAAGUGAUAGCCAGUGCAAUCAGAUUCUAAAAACAAUAGCCAUAAGUGGUAGAUGUGGAAAAAAAUAAU
RNAcentral lists this long non-coding RNA (1340 nucleotides) under Equus caballus (horse). RNAcentral describes it as "lncRNA (ENSECAG00000055707.1)". The record is from RNAcentral. Lineage: Eukaryota; Metazoa; Chordata; Mammalia; Perissodactyla; Equidae.